This 292-nucleotide ribosomal RNA is filed under the name uncultured bacterium. RNAcentral's name for it is "partial 16S ribosomal RNA". It matches the Rfam family "Bacterial small subunit ribosomal RNA", at positions 505 to 796 of the family's 1533-position model. The record is from RNAcentral.
GUGUCAGCAGCCGCGGUAAGACGAACCGUGCAAACGUUACUCGGAUUCACUGGGCUUAAAGGGCGCGUAGGCGGCUCGCCAAGUCUGGGGUGAAAUCUUUCGGCUCAACCGGAAAAUUGCCUGGGAUACUGGCGGGCUCGAGCGAGAUAGGGGUCACGGGAACUUCCAGUGGAGCGGUGAAAUGCGUUGAUAUUGGAAGGAACGCCGGUGGCGAAAGCGCGUGACUGGAUCUCUUCUGACGCUGAGGCGCGAAAGCUAGGGGAGCAAACGGGAUUAGAAACCCGCGUAGUCC